This is a non-coding RNA of Kordia algicida OT-1, 36 nucleotides long. Lineage: Bacteria; Pseudomonadati; Bacteroidota; Flavobacteriia; Flavobacteriales; Flavobacteriaceae. The record is from Rfam.
AAGGAAGAAACCGAAAAUCCUAAAACAGAGUAGGUC